UCACAUUGAAACACCAGUUCCUGUAUGCUCACCAAAGUUAAGCAAUGUCAGGCCUGGCCAGUGCCUAGAUGGGUGACUGCUUGGGAAUACCAGGUGUUAUA
Acanthosepion pharaonis is the source of this 101-nucleotide non-coding RNA. The record is from the annotation of a GenBank genome assembly. Lineage: Eukaryota; Metazoa; Mollusca; Cephalopoda; Sepiida; Sepiidae.